RNAcentral lists this ribosomal RNA (460 nucleotides) under uncultured bacterium. RNAcentral describes it as "partial 16S ribosomal RNA". It matches the Rfam family "Bacterial small subunit ribosomal RNA", at positions 338 to 795 of the family's 1533-position model. The record is from RNAcentral.
CCUACGGGAGGCAGCAGUGAGGAAUAUUGGUCAAUGGACGAGAGUCUGAACCAGCCAAGUAGCGUGAAGGAUGACUGCCCUAUGGGUUGUAAACUUCUUUUAUAUGGGAAUAAAAUGUUCCACGUGUGGGAUUUUGUAUGUACCAUAUGAAUAAGGAUCGGCUAAUUCCGUGCCAGCAGCCGCGGUAAUACGGAGGAUCCGAGCGUUAUCCGGAUUUAUUGGGUUUAAAGGGAGCGUAGGUGGAUUGUUAAGUCAGUUGUGAAAGUUUGCGGCUCAACCGUAAAAUUGCAGUUGAAACUGGCAGUCUUGAGUACAGUAGAGGUGGGCGGAAUGCGUGGUGUAGCGGUGAAAUGCUUAGAUAUCACGAAGAACUCCGAUUGCGAAGGCAGUUCACUGGACUGCAACUGACACUGAGGCUCGAAAGUGUGGGUAUCAAACAGGAUUAGAUACCCCAGUAGUC